Bos mutus (wild yak) is the source of this 2005-nucleotide long non-coding RNA. The record is from Ensembl. Lineage: Eukaryota; Metazoa; Chordata; Mammalia; Artiodactyla; Bovidae.
AACGGUGCUCCUGCCAUCAUUUCAGCUUCUCUCCUCAGGCAGGGGUGCCCACGAGAGGGGAGCCUUGCCCAGUCUUGGCUAGAGGUGGACUCAGGCCCCACCUUCCUUCCUAGGCUGGGGGCCCUGGCCUGUCUCCUUCCUGGGGACACAGAAGGGGACUCUGGGGUUGGGGUGAGGGGAUUCUGUGACACGUUUGUGAGUAAAGCUCAGUGCUCCCUGCAGCCCUAGAUUCCCACAUGUGCCGGGUCUGUCCUGCCGAUGCCCUUAGAACCUCGGAGGUGCCCUGGCCUCAGCCUGGCCCUCCUCAUCUGAGGAAGGACACCUCUGACAGCGUGUGCCGGGUGGGGUGGAUCCAGCACUGAGUGUGGCUGUUUUGGGGGUGAGGGUCCCCCAAGCAGGCUGGGGUCAAGGUCAGCAUUAAAAGGCCCCCUCAGCAAGGGGCUUGGGGUCUCAGGCCGGCCCCUGUAGAUGAGGCUGAAGCUGUGACAGUGGGGAGUGAAUGAGCCCUUCCCCUCUUGACCCCUGACACCGGGAUUCAGUGAUAAAGGAAUGCUCUUAAAGUUCUUGGGUCCCCUGGCUCCUUUAUUUCCAUCUCAAGCCCAACCCUAGAAACCAUGGAUGAUUCAGAGCCCCAGCAGGGACACCUGGGAAACCAAAGGCCAGGAGGGUUCAAGUCAGAGGCAAGCGCUCACCUCUGCCCUCCUGAAUUAGAGAUGGUUCUCCUUGAUGGGAUGAGAGACCACUUCUGCUUCUCCAGCCUCGUGGAGGUGGACCUUUCAUGGCCCAAGAAACACAAAGCACAGGAUUUUCCAGGAUCAUUUCUCCAGGUGCCUUUUGAGCAUAGCAUCCUGACGUUCUGAGGAUGUACAUUUUAUUGCAACCAAAGUUCCUACUUGGCUUGCCCCAGUCUUGUGGGUCAGACCUAGUCCAACUGGGGAGCUGCAUUGAAAGACUGACCUGGAGAGGGGCACAGAGCGUGGCUUCAAAGAGACGGCUUCAGACAGCCCCUCCAACUCCCAUUUGGGGCAUCUGAGUUGGAACGGAAAAAGUAAAACCGUCUCUAUUUGCAGAUUUAUAGAAUAUAUAUAGAAAACCCUUAAGCCUCUGCAAAAAGGCUGUUUGAACUAUGAACAAAUUCAGUAAAGCUGCAGGAUAGAAAAUCCUGCUUCCAAACUGUGUGAAAAACCUAGACAGCAUAUUACAAAGCAGAGACGUCACUUUGCCAACAAAGGUCCAUCUAGUCACUGCUAUGGUUUUUCCAGUAGUCAUGUGCACAUGUGAGAGCUGGACCAUAAAGAAAGCUGAGUGCCGAAGAAUUGAUGCUUUUGAACUGUGGUGUUGGAGAAGGCUCUUGAGAGUCCCUUGGACUGCAAGGAGAUCCAACCAGUCCAUCCUAAAGGAGAUCAGUCCUGGGUGUUCAUUGGAAGGACUGAUGUUGAAGCUGAAACUCUAAUACUUUGGCCACCUGAUGCGAAGAGCUGACUCAUUGGAAAAGACCCUGAUGCUGGGAAAGAUCGAAGGCAGGAGAAGGGGAUGACAGAGGAUGAGAUGAUUGGAUGGCAUCACCAACUCAAUGGACAUGAGUUUGAGCAAGCUCUGGGACUUGGGGAUGGACAGGGAAGCCUGGCAUGCUGCAGUCCAUGGUGUCGCCAAGAGUCAGACGUGACUGAGUGACUGAACAACAAGCGUGUGACUUUGGGCACUUCACCACACCUCUGGCUCAUUUUGGCAUGUGUACAGGGUGAUAGUCCCAGGGAGAGAGAGGGACAGAAGAUUAGACAGGCGGAGGGCUGCCCAUGGGCUGGCCCGAGAAGAGGUUGAUAAGACUCAUGAUUGUCAUCAGCUCUUCCUGUCCCCCACCCCACCCUGUCAUGAGACCAACAUCAUUCUAACGGGUACAGGGGCCUGCCCUCUCUGAAUUCACUCUGUCGGGCUCACCCCUUCCCCUGGGAGGUUAGAAGGAACCAGGAAUAAAAUAGCAAGUUGGUUGAUUGAAAGACUGGCU